Molecule: ribosomal RNA, 301 nt
Filed under: uncultured bacterium
Lineage: Bacteria
Description: partial 16S ribosomal RNA
Rfam family: Bacterial small subunit ribosomal RNA
Source: RNAcentral
CAGCCGCCGCGGUAACACGUAGGGGGCGAGCGUUGUCCGAAGUUACUGGGCGUAAAGCGCGCGUAGGCGGCUUCUUAAGUCUGAGGUGAAAGGUUCAACGCUUAACGUGAACAGUGCCUUGGAUACUGGGGAGCUUGAGUAUGGGAGAGGGCAGUGGAAUGGCUGGUGUAGCGGUGAAAUGCGUAGAUAUCAGUCGGAACACCCAUGGCGAAGGCAGCUGCCUGGCCUAAUACUGACGCUGAGGUGCGAAAGCGUGGGGAGCGAACGGGAUUAGAUACCCCUGUAGUCCCUGUCUCUUAUU